This 406-nucleotide ribosomal RNA is filed under the name uncultured bacterium. Its description in RNAcentral is "partial 16S ribosomal RNA". It matches the Rfam family "Bacterial small subunit ribosomal RNA", at positions 30 to 526 of the family's 1533-position model. The record is from RNAcentral.
AUUGAACGCUGGCGGCAGGCCUAACACAUGCAAGUCGAACGAGUGGCGGACGGGUGAGUAAUGUCUGGGAAACUGCCUGAUGGAGGGGGAUAACUACUGGAAACGGUAGCUAAUACCGCAUACCAUCGGAUGUGCCCAGAUGGGAUUAGUUAGUAGGUGGGGUAAAGGCUCACCUAGGCGACGAUCCCUAGCUGGUCUGAGAGGAGGACCAGCCACACUGGAAAUGAGACACGUUCCAGACCCGUACGGGAGGGAGCAGUGGGGAAUAUUGGCCAAUGGGAGCAAGCCUGAUGCAGCCAGGACGCGUGUAGGAAGAAGGCCUUCGGGUUGUAAAGUACUUUCAGCGGUGAGGCGUUACCCGCAGAAGAAGCACCGGCUAACUCCGUGCCAGCCGCCGCGGUAAUAC